UACGAAGGGUGCAAGCGUUAAUCGGAAUUACUGGGCGUAAAGCGCGCGUAGGUGGUUCAGUAAGUUAGGAGUGAAAGCCCCGGGCUUAACCUGGGAAUUGCUUCUAAAACUGCUGAGCUAGAGUACGGUAGAGGGUGGUGGAAUUUCCUGUGUAGCGGUGAAAUGCGUAGAUAUAGGAAGGAACAUUAGUGGCGAAGGCGACCACCUGGACUGAUACUGACACUGAGGUGCGAAAGCGUGGGGAGCAAACAGG
This 253-nucleotide ribosomal RNA is filed under the name uncultured bacterium. RNAcentral's name for it is "partial 16S ribosomal RNA". It matches the Rfam family "Bacterial small subunit ribosomal RNA", at positions 524 to 776 of the family's 1533-position model. The record is from RNAcentral.